AGCAGCCGCGGUAAUUCCAGCUCCAAUAGCGUAUAUUAAAGUUGUUGCAGUUAAAAAGCUCGUAGUUGAAUUUCGGGGUCAGUAGGUUGGUCGUGCCACUGGUAUGCACUGGCCUCACUGAUUCCUCCUUCUUGUAGAACCGUAAUGCCAUUAGUUUGGUGUUGCGGGGAAACAGGACUGUUACUUUGAAAAAAUUAGAGUGUUUAAAGCAGGCUAACGCCUGAAUACAUUAGCAUGGAAUAAUGAAAUAGGACGUUCGAUCCUAUUUUGUUGGUUUCUAGGAUUGACGUAAUGAUUAAUAGGGAUAGUUGGGGGCAUUAGUAUUCAAUUGUCAGAGGUGAAAUUCUUGGAUUUAUUGAAGACUAACUACUGCGAAAGCAUUUGCCAAGGAUGUUUUCAUUAAUCAAGAACGAAAGUUAGGGGAUCGAAGACGAUCAGAUACCGUCGUAG
This 450-nucleotide ribosomal RNA is filed under the name uncultured Glomeromycotina. Its description in RNAcentral is "SSU rRNA". It matches the Rfam family "Eukaryotic small subunit ribosomal RNA", at positions 569 to 1023 of the family's 1831-position model. Lineage: Eukaryota; Fungi; Glomeromycota. The record is from RNAcentral.